RNAcentral lists this ribosomal RNA (384 nucleotides) under uncultured bacterium. Its description in RNAcentral is "bacterial SSU rRNA". It matches the Rfam family "Bacterial small subunit ribosomal RNA", at positions 28 to 412 of the family's 1533-position model. The record is from RNAcentral.
GACGAACGCUGGCGGCGUGCUUAACACAUGCAAGUCGAGCGGUAAGGCCCUUUCGGGGUACGACGAGCGGCGAACGGGUGAGUAACACGUGGGUGACCUGCCCUCAGCUCUGGGAUAAGCCUGGGAAACCGGGUCUAAUACCGGAUAUGACUCCAUGACGCAUGUUGUGGGGUGGAAAGCCUUGUGCGGCUGAGGAUGGGCCCGCGGCCUAUCAGCUUGUUGGUGGGGUGAUGGCCUACCAAGGCGACGACGGGUAGCCGGCCUGAGAGGGCGACCGGCCACACUGGGACUGAGACACGGCCCAGACUCCUACGGGAGGGCAGCAGUGGGGAAUCUUGCGCAAUGGGCGAAAGCCUGACGCAGCGACGCCGCGUGAGGGAUGAC